UAAGUGAAAAUAUGGAGAUUUUUAAAACAGUUGAUAUUAGACUAGUAAAGAGAGUUAAUAUGGGACACCAACAGGCACUUUUGUUUUUGAUCGGUGUAUUGCUUAUUUCCUUUUAUCCGCUGUGUGACUGUGGUGCGUGUUUGAGAUAUGAUCCAUUUGGAAAUUGUCUAACUACGCAAGUAAGUCCCUUGGGAGCCUUGCUUGGUAUUUCCCAUGUGCCAAGUCCUAGAGUCCCUCAAGUCGCCACUUAUCCAGCAGCAGUGCCAGCUUAUCCAGCAGCAAUACCAGCUUAUCCAGCAGCAAUGCCAGCUUAUCCGGUAGCUAUGCCAGCAUAUAGAUAUGGCUA
Drosophila nasuta is the source of this 346-nucleotide long non-coding RNA. RefSeq lists it as uncharacterized. The record is from RefSeq and is a predicted model, not a curated record. The transcript is spliced from 2 exons. Lineage: Eukaryota; Metazoa; Arthropoda; Insecta; Diptera; Drosophilidae.